AGUGAACGCUGGCGGUAGGCCUAACACAUGCAAGUCGAACGGCAGCACAGUAAGAGCUUGCUCUUACGGGUGGCGAGUGGCGGACGGGUGAGGAAUACAUCGGCAUCUACUUUUUCGUGGGGGACAACGUAGGGACACUUACGCUAAUACCGCAUACGACCUACGGGUGAAAGCAGGGGAUCUUCGGACCUUGCGCGAUUGAAUGAGCCGAUGUCGGAUUAGCUAGUUGGCGGGGUAAAGGCCCACCAAGGCGACGAUCCGUAGCUGGUCUGAGAGGAUGAUCAGCCACACUGGAACUGAGACACGGUCCAGACUCCUACGGGAGGCAGCAGUGGGGAAUAUUGGGCAAUGGGCGCAAGCCUGAUCCAGCCAUACCGCGUGGGUGAAGAAGGCCUUCGGAUUGUAAAGCCCUUUUAUUAGGAAAGAAAAGCAGCAGGUGAAUACCCCGCUGUUCUGACGGUACCCAAAGAAUAAGCACCGGCUAACUUCGUG
This 492-nucleotide ribosomal RNA is filed under the name uncultured bacterium. RNAcentral describes it as "partial 16S ribosomal RNA". It matches the Rfam family "Bacterial small subunit ribosomal RNA", at positions 29 to 507 of the family's 1533-position model. The record is from RNAcentral.